Molecule: long non-coding RNA, 981 nt
Organism: Poecilia latipinna (sailfin molly)
Lineage: Eukaryota; Metazoa; Chordata; Actinopteri; Cyprinodontiformes; Poeciliidae
Exons: 3
Source: RefSeq, a predicted model, not a curated record
UGUCGCGAGCUUGUGAGUCUUGCUGUUAUGGAAACCAGGGUGGGAGGGGCUAACUGAUGCCAUUCGACUGGAGGUUUGAUGCGGAGAUGUUGUCCUCGGUGACCAGCUUAAAGCUCCCCGUCCUACGAGCUACUUCAGCAUAAAACUUUUUAGUCUCGCUGCAGUGUAGCCUUUUCGCUGACUUGAUUUUUGAUGAAACCAGACGUUUUCCGUCGCUUCUUGUUUAAUUUUCUGUUUAAAACUAGGCCAGGCUAAACCUGUCGCGCUGUAAAUCCCCCCACCUCUCUCCUUUUGAUUUUUUUUUUCUUCUCUCUACCCAAGACAACAAUUCUGGUGUUUAAGGGAGCAUUUAGAAGAAAAAACACUCAAUUUUCUGGACUUUUUUUUCUUCUCCAGAAGAUGCGGAAUAGCCAGUAAGGCGACUGAAACUAACCUCUGCAACUAUCAGACCCUGCAUUGAUGUCCCCUGGUUGCGGAGUCGGGCUGCUCGGUCAUUGGGCUGAGGGGCAAAUUUUUGUGGGGAAGUCGUGUGGAGCACAAAGAGCUUAUUAAUGCCGACAGUCAAGUUUUUCACCGUGUGUUGACAGAGGGACUGAGGUAGGAGUAGAGUUACAACGCUUUACGACCUACACUGCAACACAAAGUUAGUCAACUUUUCAGCGUGUAGCUCCUAAUAAAGUAACUACAUCCAGAAAGGGUUUUUAAUCAGCUUCAUUUGGUCCAGGGUUUAUUCUUUUAGCUGCACCGUCUGAUGAUUUUUUCUAAUCAGGAGUCCGAUUUAAAUGCAGACUGGUUUGCGAUCACAGCCGAUCUGCCAGUGCCGCUGGGAUUUUAACCCACGUCCAUUCAUUUUUUACCACUCGGCUUCAACACUAUGGAGGUGAUAUUAAGGAAAAUGUUGCUGCUGCUGCUGGGGUGCAUCUUAUUCCUGGACUUGGCUCGACUGGCUGAUGCAGAAGAAGAGGUGCUGAUGAACUACCA